RNAcentral lists this ribosomal RNA (2903 nucleotides) under Escherichia coli. RNAcentral's name for it is "bacterial LSU rRNA". It matches the Rfam family "Bacterial large subunit ribosomal RNA". Lineage: Bacteria; Pseudomonadati; Pseudomonadota; Gammaproteobacteria; Enterobacterales; Enterobacteriaceae. The record is from RNAcentral.
UUAAGCGACUAAGCGUACACGGUGGAUGCCCUGGCAGUCAGAGGCGAUGAAGGACGUGCUAAUCUGCGAUAAGCGUCGGUAAGGUGAUAUGAACCGUUAUAACCGGCGAUUUCCGAAUGGGGAAACCCAGUGUGUUUCGACACACUAUCAUUAACUGAAUCCAUAGGUUAAUGAGGCGAACCGGGGGAACUGAAACAUCUAAGUACCCCGAGGAAAAGAAAUCAACCGAGAUUCCCCCAGUAGCGGCGAGCGAACGGGGAGGAGCCCAGAGCCUGAAUCAGUGUGUGUGUUAGUGGAAGCGUCUGGAAAGGCGUGCGAUACAGGGUGACAGCCCCGUACACAAAAAUGCACAUAUUGUGAGCUCGAUGAGUAGGGCGGGACACGUGGUAUCCUGUCUGAAUAUGGGGGGACCAUCCUCCAAGGCUAAAUACUCCUGACUGACCGAUAGUGAACCAGUACCGUGAGGGAAAGGCGAAAAGAACCCCGGCGAGGGGAGUGAAAAAGAACCUGAAACCGUGUACGUACAAGCAGUGGGAGCCUCUUAAUGGGGUGACUGCGUACCUUUUGUAUAAUGGGUCAGCGACUUAUAUUCUGUAGCAAGGUUAACCGAAUAGGGGAGCCGAAGGGAAACCGAGUCUUAACUGGGCGUUAAGUUGCAGGGUAUAGACCCGAAACCCGGUGAUCUAGCCAUGGGCAGGUUGAAGGUUGGGUAACACUAACUGGAGGACCGAACCGACUAAUGUUGAAAAAUUAGCGGAUGACUUGUGGCUGGGGGUGAAAGGCCAAUCAAACCGGGAGAUAGCUGGUUCUCCCCGAAAGCUAUUUAGGUAGCGCCUCGUGAAUUCAUCUCCGGGGGUAGAGCACUGUUUCGGCAAGGGGGUCAUCCCGACUUACCAACCCGAUGCAAACUGCGAAUACCGGAGAAUGUUAUCACGGGAGACACACGGCGGGUGCUAACGUCCGUCGUGAAGAGGGAAACAACCCAGACCGCCAGCUAAGGUCCCAAAGUCAUGGUUAAGUGGGAAACGAUGUGGGAAGGCCCAGACAGCCAGGAUGUUGGCUUAGAAGCAGCCAUCAUUUAAAGAAAGCGUAAUAGCUCACUGGUCGAGUCGGCCUGCGCGGAAGAUGUAACGGGGCUAAACCAUGCACCGAAGCUGCGGCAGCGACGCUUAUGCGUUGUUGGGUAGGGGAGCGUUCUGUAAGCCUGUGAAGGUGUACUGUGAGGUAUGCUGGAGGUAUCAGAAGUGCGAAUGCUGACAUAAGUAACGAUAAAGCGGGUGAAAAGCCCGCUCGCCGGAAGACCAAGGGUUCCUGUCCAACGUUAAUCGGGGCAGGGUGAGUCGACCCCUAAGGCGAGGCCGAAAGGCGUAGUCGAUGGGAAACAGGUUAAUAUUCCUGUACUUGGUGUUACUGCGAAGGGGGGACGGAGAAGGCUAUGUUGGCCGGGCGACGGUUGUCCCGGUUUAAGCGUGUAGGCUGGUUUUCCAGGCAAAUCCGGAAAAUCAAGGCUGAGGCGUGAUGACGAGGCACUACGGUGCUGAAGCAACAAAUGCCCUGCUUCCAGGAAAAGCCUCUAAGCAUCAGGUAACAUCAAAUCGUACCCCAAACCGACACAGGUGGUCAGGUAGAGAAUACCAAGGCGCUUGAGAGAACUCGGGUGAAGGAACUAGGCAAAAUGGUGCCGUAACUUCGGGAGAAGGCACGCUGAUAUGUAGGUGAAGCGACUUGCUCGUGGAGCUGAAAUCAGUCGAAGAUACCAGCUGGCUGCAACUGUUUAUUAAAAACACAGCACUGUGCAAACACGAAAGUGGACGUAUACGGUGUGACGCCUGCCCGGUGCCGGAAGGUUAAUUGAUGGGGUUAGCGGUAACGCGAAGCUCUUGAUCGAAGCCCCGGUAAACGGCGGCCGUAACUAUAACGGUCCUAAGGUAGCGAAAUUCCUUGUCGGGUAAGUUCCGACCUGCACGAAUGGCGUAAUGAUGGCCAGGCUGUCUCCACCCGAGACUCAGUGAAAUUGAACUCGCUGUGAAGAUGCAGUGUACCCGCGGCAAGACGGAAAGACCCCGUGAACCUUUACUAUAGCUUGACACUGAACAUUGAGCCUUGAUGUGUAGGAUAGGUGGGAGGCUUUGAAGUGUGGACGCCAGUCUGCAUGGAGCCGACCUUGAAAUACCACCCUUUAAUGUUUGAUGUUCUAACGUUGGCCCCUGAUCGGGGUUGCGGACAGUGUCUGGUGGGUAGUUUGACUGGGGCGGUCUCCUCCUAAAGAGUAACGGAGGAGCACGAAGGUUGGCUAAUCCUGGUCGGACAUCAGGAGGUUAGUGCAAUGGCAUAAGCCAGCUUGACUGCGAGCGUGACGGCGCGAGCAGGUGCGAAAGCAGGUCAUAGUGAUCCGGUGGUUCUGAAUGGAAGGGCCAUCGCUCAACGGAUAAAAGGUACUCCGGGGAUAACAGGCUGAUACCGCCCAAGAGUUCAUAUCGACGGCGGUGUUUGGCACCUCGAUGUCGGCUCAUCACAUCCUGGGGCUGAAGUAGGUCCCAAGGGUAUGGCUGUUCGCCAUUUAAAGUGGUACGCGAGCUGGGUUUAGAACGUCGUGAGACAGUUCGGUCCCUAUCUGCCGUGGGCGCUGGAGAACUGAGGGGGGCUGCUCCUAGUACGAGAGGACCGGAGUGGACGCAUCACUGGUGUUCGGGUUGUCAUGCCAAUGGCACUGCCCGGUAGCUAAAUGCGGAAGAGAUAAGUGCUGAAAGCAUCUAAGCACGAAACUUGCCCCGAGAUGAGUUCUCCCUGAGACUUUAAGUCUCCUGAAGGAACGUUGAAGACGACGACGUUGAUAGGCCGGGUGUGUAAGCGCAGCGAUGCGUUGAGCUAACCGGUACUAAUGAACCGUGAGGCUUAACCUU